RNAcentral lists this ribosomal RNA (253 nucleotides) under uncultured bacterium. RNAcentral describes it as "partial 16S ribosomal RNA". It matches the Rfam family "Bacterial small subunit ribosomal RNA", at positions 524 to 776 of the family's 1533-position model. The record is from RNAcentral.
UACGUAGGGGGCGAGCGUUGUCCGGAUUCAUUGGGCGUAAAGAGCUCGUAGGUGGUUUGUCGCGUUGUUCGUGAAAACUCACAGCUCAACUGUGGGCGUGCGGGCGAUACGGGCAGACUAGAGUGUGGUAGGGGAGACUGGAAUUCCUGGUGUAGCGGUGAAAUGCGCAGAUAUCAGGAGGAACACCGGCGGCGAAGGCGGGUCUCUGGGCAGUAACUGACGCUGAGGAGCGAAAGCGUGGGGAGCGAACAGG